This 392-nucleotide unclassified non-coding RNA is filed under the name Athalia rosae (coleseed sawfly). RNAcentral describes it as "misc RNA ENSAEAG00005007633.1". Lineage: Eukaryota; Metazoa; Arthropoda; Insecta; Hymenoptera; Athaliidae. The record is from RNAcentral.
GGAACUUUCUUAGACUAUAAUCGGCUGGAUAACAAAACCGUCUUCCAUCCACUCAGCCAGUUCCUCGACGGACACGGGUGGGAACGGAACCACGCGUCGUAGAACACAGAGAGCGUCGCAUGGCCAUCAGGCGAAAGGCAGCUGGCUAGACCGGAGAAGCCAAAGAUAUUCGCAGAGCCGAAGCCUUUGACUUUCAAACCGUCACGUCGCGCAACGUCUACGCCGCAGGGUAACCAGACCAUGAACUGCUACGUGGUCAGAAUCGAGGAGGGUUUUCAGUCUUGGGUGCUACGGCAGUUCAGCUUCAGUAUGGCUUCAGCGACAAGAGCGGCGACAUCAGGAGCGACAUCAGUAGCAACGCAGAUUCCACAGAGCGACGACGGAGAGAGAGA